UGUCUUCGGGGCGGGGUGUGAUUCCCCACCGGCGGUAAUGCGGCAAGGUUGCCGACAAGCCCGCGAGCGGCGCCGUUUACGGCGCGGUUGACUCCGGUUGGAUUCCGGGGCCGACGGUAUAGUCCGGAUGGAAGAAG
RNAcentral lists this non-coding RNA (137 nucleotides) under chicken gut metagenome. Its description in RNAcentral is "FMN riboswitch (RFN element)". It matches the Rfam family "FMN riboswitch aptamer (RFN element)". From Rfam's summary of the family: The RFN element is a highly conserved domain that is found frequently in the 5'-untranslated regions of prokaryotic mRNAs that encode for flavin mononucleotide (FMN) biosynthesis and transport proteins. This element is a metabolite-dependent riboswitch that directly binds FMN in the absence of proteins. The record is from RNAcentral.